AUAAUCUAAAGUUUAAACGGAAGUAUAAACCUGAAAAAUGUCUCAUGCUCUUUUGUUUUGUCAGGCAGCGUUUGUAAGUGGAAAUGUCAAGCCUGUCAGCAGCCAGUGUGGAGGCUUCACCAGCAAUAGAGGAAGCAGUGCAGAAGAAACCUCUCAAACCAUGCUGUGCGUGUCCUGACACCAAAAAAGCACGAGAUGCAUGCAUAAUUGAAAAGGGAGAAGAAAGCUGCACAGGCCUCAUCGAAGCGCACAAGGAGUGCAUGAGGGCACUUGGUUUUAAGAUAUAAUACUACCAUCAUCAUCAUCAGAUUGAGUGAAUGCUUGUCAGGCCCUGAUCCUCAUGUUGUUGUAUGAAACAGAGCAGCUCAGAUAUUCUGCUAAAACUCUGCAUUGCGAAUGACAACCUGUGUGAAAUGGGACCCGGUGUGAUCAUUUAUUUAUAUUUCUACACUGCAGAGAAGAUUAUGCAGGACUGCAUUUAUUCCUCUAAGGGAAAUGUCUGUCUUUUCUGUCUCUUUCUUUCAUAUACGAUUUGUGUACAUUUAUGGUCAAUAAAGAUCCUAUGCAAGACGUUAA
This is an RNA transcript of Carassius auratus (goldfish), 576 nucleotides long. It is a transcript of the gene named cytochrome c oxidase copper chaperone-like, with no coding region annotated. The record is from RefSeq and is a predicted model, not a curated record. The transcript has 4 exons. NCBI's taxonomy places the organism in Eukaryota, Metazoa, Chordata, Actinopteri, Cypriniformes, Cyprinidae.